Molecule: non-coding RNA, 584 nt
Organism: Schizosaccharomyces pombe (fission yeast)
Lineage: Eukaryota; Fungi; Ascomycota; Schizosaccharomycetes; Schizosaccharomycetales; Schizosaccharomycetaceae
Source: the annotation of a GenBank genome assembly
UGACUCAAAAAGUCGAUUCGCCUCUUGAAAUAUCUUUAGAAAAAAAGAAAAGAAAACUCGCCGUCAACAGAGAGUUCACCCAUGCAUGAAGAAAAUGUAAAGUUAUGAAUACGGAAAAUAUGCGUUUAGCGCUUACAAAAAUUCGUUAACGUUAAGGCCUAUGUGAGCAACAUUAUCACUAAACAUAAUAUAUAUUAACAUCUCUGAUUUGGCUAGGAGGAAGUAUGACAUUUACAAGUGGGCCAUUUUUUUAUUGUGGUUUGUUAUUUAUAUGAGGAUUCAGAUGUUUGCAUUCAUACUUAAGUAACGCAGUUCGAAAGCAUUUUCUUUUUUUGUGAAUAUCAAAGCGUACUUCCUUAAAACUUUUUACUCAUUAUCUUACUAAGCCAAAUUUUCCCCAAAGCUAGAGGAAAGCUAUCAUGCAAGUUAACUUGUUAAUUAGCAAAAACUACAGUGACUAAGGGACUCGUCAUGUACUAACUAGCAAGGUUAUUUUUGUACUAUAUCGUGCAAUAACGAUGCCUUGAUAGAAAUAUUUUAUGAGCUCUACCGCUGGUACUUUACCUGGUUUAAAGAAGUAUGGU